GACAGAGGGUGCAAACGUUGCUCGGAAUUACUGGGCGUAAAGCGCGUGUAGGUGGAUUGGUGUGUCAGAUGUGAAAGCCCUGGGCUCAACCCAGGAACUGCACCUGAAACUACCAGUCUUGAGUGGUGGAGAGGGAAGUGGAAUUCCUGGUGUAGAGGUGAAAUUCGUAGAUAUCAGGAGGAACACCAAUGGCGAAAGCACUCUGCUGGGCCGACACUGACACUGAGAGACGAAAGCUAGGGGAGCAAAUGGG
RNAcentral lists this ribosomal RNA (253 nucleotides) under uncultured bacterium. Its description in RNAcentral is "partial 16S ribosomal RNA". It matches the Rfam family "Bacterial small subunit ribosomal RNA", at positions 524 to 776 of the family's 1533-position model. The record is from RNAcentral.